UAAAGUGCUUAUAGUGCAGGCAAUGUUUAGUCGUCUACUGCAUUAUGAGCACUUCAAGU
RNAcentral lists this microRNA precursor (59 nucleotides) under Ornithorhynchus anatinus (platypus). RNAcentral describes it as "Oan-Mir-17-P4a8_pre stem-loop". It matches the Rfam family "mir-17 microRNA precursor family", at positions 11 to 80 of the family's 80-position model. Rfam says of the family: This family represents the microRNA (miRNA) precursor mir-17, family, which includes mir-20, mir-91, and mir-103. miRNAs are transcribed as ~70nt precursors (modelled here) and subsequently processed by the Dicer enzyme to give a ~22nt product. The record is from RNAcentral. Lineage: Eukaryota; Metazoa; Chordata; Mammalia; Monotremata; Ornithorhynchidae.